GGCGAUGUAGCUCAGUGGUUAGAGCGUUCCCCGGCAACUCAUGUUGACGAAACCGGCUUCGUGCCGAGAAUGAAAAGACCACCACUCCCGCCGGUAGCACGCAGACAGUCCGUUCCCGCUAGCAAUACGCAGAUUGCCGUCUUGAUGACCUUGUCACGGGGAAAGGUCCCUGGUUCGAAUCCAGGCAUCGCUA
This 193-nucleotide transfer RNA is filed under the name Fusarium vanettenii 77-13-4. Its description in RNAcentral is "tRNA-Cys for anticodon GCA". It matches the Rfam family "tRNA". Rfam says of the family: Transfer RNA (tRNA) molecules are approximately 80 nucleotides in length. Their secondary structure includes four short double-helical elements and three loops (D, anti-codon, and T loops). Lineage: Eukaryota; Fungi; Ascomycota; Sordariomycetes; Hypocreales; Nectriaceae. The record is from Rfam by way of RNAcentral.